This 465-nucleotide ribosomal RNA is filed under the name Vreelandella stevensii. Its description in RNAcentral is "partial 16S ribosomal RNA". It matches the Rfam family "Bacterial small subunit ribosomal RNA", at positions 338 to 795 of the family's 1533-position model. Lineage: Bacteria; Pseudomonadati; Pseudomonadota; Gammaproteobacteria; Oceanospirillales; Halomonadaceae. The record is from RNAcentral.
CCUACGGGGGGCAGCAGUGGGGAAUAUUGGACAAUGGGGGGAACCCUGAUCCAGCCAUGCCGCGUGUGUGAAGAAGGCCCUCGGGUUGUAAAGCACUUUCAGUGAGGAAGAACGCCUGGUGGUUAAUACCCAUCAGGAAAGACAUCACUCACAGCAGAAGCACCGGCUAACUCCGUGCCAGCAGCCGCGGUAAUACGGAGGGUGCGAGCGUUAAUCGGAAUUACUGGGCGUAAAGCGCGCGUAGGUGGCUUGAUAAGCCGGUUGUGAAAGCCCCGGGCUCAACCUGGGAACGGCAUCCGGAACUGUCAAGCUAGAGUGCAGGAGAGGAAGGUAGAAUUCCCGGUGUAGCGGUGAAAUGCGUAGAGAUCGGGAGGAAUACCAGUGGCGAAGGCGGCCUUCUGGACUGACACUGACACUGAGGUGCGAAAGCGUGGGUAGCAAACAGGAUUAGAUACCCCAGUAGUC